UUUGAUCCUGGCUCAGGAUGAACGCUGGCGGUAUGCUUAACACAUGCAAGUCGAACGGAACUUUUCGGAGAAUCUGGCUUCAGGUUCGGGACAACCACUGGAAACGGUGGCUAAUACCGGAUGUGCCGUAGGGGAAAGAUUAAUUGCCUGAAGAUGAGCUCGCGUCUGAUUAGCUAGUUGGUGGGGUAAGAGCCUACCAAGGCGACGAUCAGUAACUGGUCUGAGAGGAUGACCAGUCACACUGGGACUGAGACACGGCCCAGACUCCUACGGGAGGCAGCAGUGGGGAAUUUUCCGCAAUGGGCGAAAGCCUGACGGAGCAAUACCGCGUGAGGGAGGAAGGCUCUAGGGUUGUAAACCUCUUUUCUCAGGGAAGAAAAAAAUGACGGUACCUGAGGAAUAAGCAUCGGCUAACUCCGUGCCAGCAGCCGCGGUAAUACGGAGGAUGCAAGCGUUAUCCGGAUUUAUUGGGCGUAAAGCGUCCGCAGGUGGCAGUUCAAGUCUGCUGUCAAAGGUCGGGGCUCAACCCCGAACAGGCAGUGGAAACUGAACAGCUAGAGUACGGUAGGGGCAGAGGGAAUUCCCAGUGUAGCGGUGAAAUGCGUAGAGAUUGGGAAGAACACCGGUGGCGAAAGCGCUCUGCUAGGCCGAAACUGACACUCAUGGACGAAAGCUAGGGGAGCGAAUGGGAUUAGAUACCCCAGUAGUCCUAGCCGUAAACGAUGGAUACUAG
This 733-nucleotide ribosomal RNA is filed under the name uncultured cyanobacterium. Its description in RNAcentral is "bacterial SSU rRNA". It matches the Rfam family "Bacterial small subunit ribosomal RNA", at positions 12 to 819 of the family's 1533-position model. The record is from RNAcentral. Lineage: Bacteria; Bacillati; Cyanobacteriota.